GGAGGGGUGCCUGAGUGGUUGAAAGGGCCGGUUUCGAAAACCGGUGUACGGUUCACUCCGUACCGAGGGUUCGAAUCCCUCCUCCUCCG
This 89-nucleotide transfer RNA is filed under the name bacterium. RNAcentral describes it as "tRNA-Ser". It matches the Rfam family "tRNA". From Rfam's summary of the family: Transfer RNA (tRNA) molecules are approximately 80 nucleotides in length. The record is from RNAcentral.